This 496-nucleotide long non-coding RNA is filed under the name Mus musculus (house mouse). Its description in RNAcentral is "long non-coding RNA chr15:85702802-85703298". Lineage: Eukaryota; Metazoa; Chordata; Mammalia; Rodentia; Muridae. The record is from RNAcentral.
UGAGAGGUGGCGGCUGGCAGAUGGCAGGGCGUCUGCUGACUGCUCACUCCCUGCCCGCCCCGCCACUGGCCCUCCUCCAGCCUGUCCCCACUGGGUCCCUGCAGUCUCUUUCAGGACCCCUUCCUUGUUACCCCUUGAGAAAGGAGUCAUUUCUGUGGGUCCCAAGCCCCAGGCCCGAGGCCAGGCUGUUUCACAGGUGGGCUUGACACAUCGGAACGCUUCCCAAAUAUGGAACUGGGCCUUUUCCUUCUCCUUCACAAAUGGCUCUAGAGAUGACCAGAGAUCCAGUAAGGGUGACCCUCCCUGAAGUCUUGUGGAACCAGCGUAAGUCCCCCACAGGUAGAGUAGAGCUGCCCUGGAACUGAAGAGACCAUGAUAGCCAUGCCUGCCACCAGAGUGUGGAGAGGCACUGUGAGAGGAAUCGGCCUAAGACAGGCACCUGUGGGUCAGCCUCACCAGAGCAGAGCCAGCACCCCCCUGCCCCCCCCCCCCCCCC